Molecule: ribosomal RNA, 466 nt
Filed under: uncultured bacterium
Lineage: Bacteria
Description: partial 16S ribosomal RNA
Rfam family: Bacterial small subunit ribosomal RNA
Source: RNAcentral
GAUGAACGCUGGCGGCGUGCUUAACACAUGCAAGUCGAACGAUGAAGCCCAGCUUGCUGGGUGGAUUAGUGGCGAACGGGUGAGUAACACGUGAGUAACCUGCCCUUAACUCUGGGAUAAGCCUUGGAAACUGGGUCUAAUACCGGAUAGGAGCGUCCACCGCAUGGUGGGUGUUGUAAAGAUUUAUCGGUUUUGGAUGGACUCGCGGCCUAUCAGCUUGUUGGUGAGGUAAUGUCUCACCAAGGCGACGACGGGUAGCCGGCCUGAGAGGGUGACCGGCCACACUGGGACUGAGACACGGCCCAGACUCCUACGGGAGGCAGCAGUGGGGAAUAUUGCACAAUGGGCGCAAGCCUGAUGCAGCGACGCCGCGUGAGGGAUGACGGCCUUCGGGUUGUAAACCUCUUUCAGUAGGGAAGAAGCGAAAGUGACGGUGCCUGCAGAAGAAGCACCGGCUAACUACGUG